RNAcentral lists this ribosomal RNA (504 nucleotides) under uncultured bacterium. RNAcentral's name for it is "partial 16S ribosomal RNA". It matches the Rfam family "Bacterial small subunit ribosomal RNA", at positions 28 to 506 of the family's 1533-position model. The record is from RNAcentral.
GACGAACGCUGGCGGCGUGCCUAAUACAUGCAAGUAGAACGCACAGUUUAUACCGUAGCUUGCUACACCAUAGACUGUGAGUUGCGAACGGGUGAGUAACGCGUAGGUAACCUGCCUGGUAGCGGGGGAUAACUAUUGGAAACGAUAGCUAAUACCGCAUAAUAUUGAUUAUUGCAUGAUAAUUGAUUGAAAGAUGCUAUUGCAUCACUACCAGAUGGACCUGCGUUGUAUUAGCUAGUAGGUGAGGUAACGGCUCACCUAGGCGACGAUACAUAGCCGACCUGAGAGGGUGAUCGGCCACACUGGGACUGAGACACGGCCCAGACUCCUACGGGAGGCAGCAGUAGGGAAUCUUCGGCAAUGGACGAAAGUCUGACCGAGCAACGCCGCGUGAGUGAAGAAGGUGUUCGGAUCGUAAAGCUCUGUUGUAAGAGAAGAACGGGUGUGAGAGUGGAAAGUUCACACUGUGACGGUAUCUUACCAGAAAGGGACGGCUAACUACGU